RNAcentral lists this transfer-messenger RNA (338 nucleotides) under Alphaproteobacteria bacterium GWF2_58_20. It matches the Rfam family "Alphaproteobacteria transfer-messenger RNA". From Rfam's summary of the family: Bacterial tmRNA, also known as 10Sa RNA or SsrA, is named for its dual tRNA and mRNA-like properties. Its role is to liberate the mRNA from a stalled ribosome. To accomplish this part of the tmRNA is used as a reading frame that ends in a translation stop signal. RNAcentral also lists the same sequence under 1 other name. Lineage: Bacteria; Pseudomonadati; Pseudomonadota; Alphaproteobacteria. The record is from RNAcentral.
ACCCUUUUCAUCUGCUCCGGAAAAGAUUAUAAGGGUCUUCGCUGAAUGCAAAUUCAGAUAUGGCGAUAAACACCACUCGGCAUAGGCGGUACGGACCCGGGGGCGGUACCCGGCGCCUCCACCAUAUAUGGGGGCGAAACAGAAUCGACGUACGCAGUAAGGGUGUGGCUUUUGCCCGGCAUGAUACCACCGUUAUCGGGUCAAUCGCAUAGAUGCCAACGACAACUAUGCUCCGGUGGCGCUGGCUGCGUAAGCAGCUCGUUCUAUCGGGACUAAGUCCUUUUUCCCUAGCAGGAUAAGGCGGGGCCCGGGGGCGCCUGGCAACAGAAGCCCCCACU